UACGUAGGGUCCGAGCGUUGUCCGGAAUUAUUGGGCGUAAAGGGCUCGUAGGCGGUUCGUCACGUCGGGAGUGAAAACUCGGAGCUUAACUCCGAGCCUGCUUCCGAUACGGGCAGACUAGAGGUAGGCAGGGGAGAGCGGAACUCCUGGUGUAGCGGUGGAAUGCGCAGAUAUCAGGAGGAACACCGGUGGCGAAGGCGGAUCUCUGGGCCGUACCUGACGCUGAGGCGCGAAAGCUAGGGGAGCAAACAGG
RNAcentral lists this ribosomal RNA (253 nucleotides) under uncultured bacterium. RNAcentral describes it as "partial 16S ribosomal RNA". It matches the Rfam family "Bacterial small subunit ribosomal RNA", at positions 524 to 776 of the family's 1533-position model. The record is from RNAcentral.